AUGUUAGUAAUUUUUAUUCCAAUCUUCCACUAAAUCCAUAACUAUUGAAAAAAUUGAUUUUGACUAUUUCUUCCAAAGAAUCCCAGCUAGUUGUGAAGUAUGAUAGUUUUUAAGGUUGCUUUUCAAUGUUUAUGUGAUUUGGAAAAUUUGUAGUUACAUUCAAAAAUUUCAAUUAAAAAAAUUGAACUCUCAAACACUUAUACAAGCUUUGAAAUUGAAACUUGAAAAAUUAAAGGUGUGCUUGGUAAUGUUUUCGUUUCUUGUUUCCUGUUUCUGUUUUCAUUUUUAAAAAAAUAGAAGUGUUUGGUAACGUUUCAUGUUUCUUGUUCUAAAAAAAAUAGAAACGUUUAUCAUUUUAUAAAAAAUUGUUUGAAAAAAAAUAGUUUCUUCCGUGACUGUCAAUUACUUCUAUUAGUUUUUUUUUUUCUCAAUUAUUUUUAUUGGUUUUCUUUUCAUUUUUCUCAAAUUCUUUUUAUUAAUUUCAUUUUCUUUUUUCUCAAUUCUUUUUAUUGGUUUUCUUUUCUUUUUUUCAAUUAUUUUUCUAUUUCAUUUUCCUCUAGUAAUUUUCUUUUCUUUCUUCUUCUUUCCCAAAAUAACCACUCUCCACGUCGGUUUUUUUCUUCAUUUUCUUCCUCUUUUUUCAAUACAAAGAACACAUAUAUUUCUCUUCUUCCUCUCAUUUCCAUCUCUUUUCCAAAUAACCAUCAUCUUUCUCUUCCUCUCAUUGUCUUCACAGUCUUCCUCUUCAUCUCUCAUUGUCUUCCUCUUUGCGUGAAUUGUGUUUUCGCUGUCGAUUUUUGUCUUUCUCUUUACCAUGGGUUUCAGUCCUCCUCUUCAUUGUGGGUUUUUGUCUUCCUCUCGUAAGCUCUAUCCUUCAUAUCUCAAUCUUUCAUCUCGUUCUCCAUAAGAUUACAAGAAGACUUUCUAAUCUAUGUUUGAUAAUUUUAUUUUAUUUUUUAGGUUUAAUAGAGGACAUAUAUUUUUGUUUGAUGUUUAAUUGAAUUAAAUUUGAAUAAAAUAAAAAAUAAAUCUAAAAAAAUCAAGAAACAAGAAACAAUUAUCAAACCCGUUUUUAUCUUUUGAUCUAAUAGAAGAAGUAAGGGAAACCUAGGAACAUGAAACAAGAAAUAAGAAACAGAAAACAAGAACGUUACUAAACGUGUCCUAAAUUCAAUUUUAAUUUUGGGUAUAAGUAGAAGGAUCAUGUAUGUUUUAUUAUGAAAGUUUGUCAAUCUUGCAAUUUGCCUACCUAAAUCUCUAAGCAUUUGUCUUCUCUUAUCUAAAUUUUAGUUUUGUUUUUGAAAAAUAUAAAUUCAUAUUUGCAAAACAAUAAAGUAAAAUUAAAAUAAUAAUAAUAAUAAUAAUAAUAAAUUGAGAUAUACUUUACUUUACCUGUUCACAUGUGCCGCAACCCACCGUAGAGCAUCCCAACAGUCCUCGUAGCAGGCGGGGAUAGGAUGCUCCGGCGCGAGGCGGUAUUCAACGGAGACCGCAACGGCGUUGGCCUUGGCAGC
This 1514-nucleotide long non-coding RNA is filed under the name Cucumis sativus (cucumber). RNAcentral describes it as "long non-coding RNA (CSAT_LNC000636)". The record is from RNAcentral. Lineage: Eukaryota; Viridiplantae; Streptophyta; Magnoliopsida; Cucurbitales; Cucurbitaceae.